Long non-coding RNA from Galeopterus variegatus (Sunda flying lemur), 102 nucleotides. RefSeq lists it as uncharacterized. The record is from RefSeq and is a predicted model, not a curated record. Lineage: Eukaryota; Metazoa; Chordata; Mammalia; Dermoptera; Cynocephalidae. The transcript has 3 exons.
UCGAUCUUUUCCUUCAGCUCAGCAAACUUGCAAGCAAUGUGAGCUGUGUGACAAUCCAGUACAGGGGCAUAACCAGCACUGAUUUGUCACACAGCUCAUAUU